UUACAUAUCUUGCCUCUUUGUACUAUUGUUGUAGACGCCUUAUAUGUUGUAGGUAUAUGGUGGGUCUGGACACGCACCGGGCGGGCUUCCGCCGGGUUCCGGGGCGUGACAGUUGGGGAUAGAGAUAGAGAUAGAGAUAGAGGUAGAGAAAGAGAGAUCGAUUUGAGAGUAGAGGAGCCGGAAGAAGAGUUUAGAGAAGAAUUGGGAGGAGAAGGGUUUAGUGGAGAAGUUUGGGGAAGAAGAUCUAUUAAUUU
Molecule: long non-coding RNA, 254 nt
Filed under: Ananas comosus (pineapple)
Lineage: Eukaryota; Viridiplantae; Streptophyta; Magnoliopsida; Poales; Bromeliaceae
Description: long non-coding RNA (ACOM_LNC032747)
Source: RNAcentral